UAUUCUGCCCCACGGGGAAGGAUGAGAAGCUUCGACCAAGGUUCGACUCGAGCGAAGGGCAACGGCCCGAAGGGCGAAGCGCUUUAGCGCCGAGUAAUCCUUCCCCCACCACUG
This 114-nucleotide small RNA is filed under the name Klebsiella pneumoniae. RNAcentral describes it as "RtT sRNA". It matches the Rfam family "RtT RNA". Rfam says of the family: This family represents a bacterial cis-regulatory element known as RtT RNA. The exact function of RtT is unknown although it is thought that it may be involved in changing the cellular response in relation to amino acid starvation. The record is from RNAcentral. Lineage: Bacteria; Pseudomonadati; Pseudomonadota; Gammaproteobacteria; Enterobacterales; Enterobacteriaceae.